This 489-nucleotide ribosomal RNA is filed under the name uncultured bacterium. Its description in RNAcentral is "partial 16S ribosomal RNA". It matches the Rfam family "Bacterial small subunit ribosomal RNA", at positions 28 to 506 of the family's 1533-position model. The record is from RNAcentral.
GAUGAACGCUAGCUACAGGCUUAACACAUGCAAGUCGAGGGGCAGCGGGAUUGAAGCUUGCUUCAAUUGCCGGCGACCGGCGCACGGGUGAGUAACGCGUAUCCAACCUUCCGUACACUCAGGGAUAGCCUUUCGAAAGAAAGAUUAAUACCUGAUGGUAUGAUGAGAUUGCAUGAUAUCAUCAUUAAAGAUUUAUCGGUGUACGAUGGGGAUGCGUUCCAUUAGGUAGUAGGCGGGGUAACGGCCCACCUAGCCAACGAUGGAUAGGGGUUCUGAGAGGAAGGUCCCCCACAUUGGAACUGAGACACGGUCCAAACUCCUACGGGAGGCAGCAGUGAGGAAUAUUGGUCAAUGGACGAGAGUCUGAACCAGCCAAGUAGCGUGAAGGAUGAAGGUCCUACGGAUUGUAAACUUCUUUUAUAAGGGAAUAAACCCUCCCACGUGUGGGAGCUUGUAUGUACCUUAUGAAUAAGCAUCGGCUAACUCCGG